Molecule: transfer RNA, 68 nt
Filed under: Trygonoptera mucosa (western shovelnose stingaree)
Lineage: Eukaryota; Metazoa; Chordata; Chondrichthyes; Myliobatiformes; Urolophidae
Description: tRNA-Ser
Source: RNAcentral
AAGGGAGGUCCGGGACAGGGAAAAUUGCUAAUUUCUCCCACCCAUGGGUCAAAUCCAUGGCUCCCUUA